GCUGGGUACUGGCGAUGUUUAUCAUCAUAAUAACGAGUUAUAGUAUUAUUUGUCUUUAUGAAUAUUACUUUUACUGUUUGGACUACUUUUGUGAUAUCAAUUUGAUUCCAUACUUAUACAUUCUGUCAUUUUGUCAUUGUGCUAUGGUAUAUUCUAGUAUUCUUGUCUUUCAUUUUUGCUAAUGUGCUUUAUCCAUUUGACUUUCUGUGCCUCUUUUGUUACUAUAUGUUUGUUUUAUAGUGAUUUAGAUGAUAACACAAUGUUGACG
RNAcentral lists this long non-coding RNA (268 nucleotides) under Mytilus galloprovincialis (Mediterranean mussel). Lineage: Eukaryota; Metazoa; Mollusca; Bivalvia; Mytilida; Mytilidae. The record is from RNAcentral.